AGUGAACGCUGGCGGUAGGCCUAACACAUGCAAGUCGAACGGCAGCACAGUAAGAGCUUGCUCUUACGGGUGGCGAGUGGCGGACGGGUGAGGAAUACAUCGGAAUCUACUUUUUCGUGGGGGAUAACGUAGGGAAACUUACUCUAAUACCGCAUACGACCUACGGGUGAAAGCAGGGGAUCUUCGGACCUUGCGCGAUUGAAUGCGCCGAUGUCGGAUUAGCUAGUUGGCGGGGUAAAGGCCCACCAAGGCGACGAUCCGUAGCUGGUCUGAGAGGAUGAUCAGCCACACGGGAACGGAGACACGGUCCAGACUCCUAAGGGAGGCAGCAGUGGGGAAUAUUGGACAGUGGUCGCAAGCAUGAUCCAGCCAUACCGCGUGGGUUAAGAAGGCCUUCGGGUUGUAAAGCCCUUUUGUUGGGAAAGAAAAGCAGCAGGUUAAUACCACGCUGUUCUGACGGUACCCAAAGAAUAAGCACCGGCUAACUUCGUG
RNAcentral lists this ribosomal RNA (492 nucleotides) under uncultured bacterium. Its description in RNAcentral is "partial 16S ribosomal RNA". It matches the Rfam family "Bacterial small subunit ribosomal RNA", at positions 29 to 507 of the family's 1533-position model. The record is from RNAcentral.